This 253-nucleotide ribosomal RNA is filed under the name uncultured bacterium. RNAcentral's name for it is "partial 16S ribosomal RNA". It matches the Rfam family "Bacterial small subunit ribosomal RNA", at positions 524 to 776 of the family's 1533-position model. The record is from RNAcentral.
UACGGAGGGCGCAAGCGUUAAUCGGAAUUACUGGGCGUAAAGCGCACGCAGGCGGUUUGCUAAGUCCGGUGUGAAAUCCCCCGGCUCAACCUGGGAACUUCAUCUGAUACUGGCAAGCUUGAGUCUCGUAGAGGGGGGUAGAAUUCCAGGUGUAGCGGUGAAAUGCGUAGAGAUCUGGAGGAAUACCGGUGGCGAAGGCGGCCGCCUGGACGAAGACUGACGCUCAGGUGCGAAAGCGUGGGGAGCAAACGGG